GGAUGUGAGGACACUCUGGCUCUGACAUCUGUCACCCCAUUGGUCUCCAGGGUUGAUUUGGCCAAUCUGGUUGGCUAGGCAGGUGCCCCCUUCCCCCAUCAUCACUCCAUGUGUGUCCCUCCCAAAGCUCCAUACUUGGUCAAAGAGGACGACCUUCCCAGAUAGAGGAGGACUGUUCUUUGGUCAAGGGUAUACGAGUAGCUGCACUCCACUGCUAAAACCUCCAAAUAAGCUCUCAAGGUUCAUUUGUAGGAGAACAUAGGGCAGUCAAGGACUCCAGACCCAUCCAAAUGAGGUGCUGCAUGUGGCACUCUGCCUUUCUUU
This is an unclassified non-coding RNA of Panthera pardus (leopard), 324 nucleotides long. Its record names the gene 7SK. It matches the Rfam family "7SK RNA". Rfam says of the family: 7SK was discovered as an abundant small nuclear RNA in the mid-70s but a possible function has only recently been suggested. Two independent studies have found that 7SK RNA binds the CDK9/cyclin T complex (known as elongation factor P-TEFb). Lineage: Eukaryota; Metazoa; Chordata; Mammalia; Carnivora; Felidae. The record is from Ensembl.